Molecule: ribosomal RNA, 497 nt
Filed under: uncultured bacterium
Lineage: Bacteria
Description: partial 16S ribosomal RNA
Rfam family: Bacterial small subunit ribosomal RNA
Source: RNAcentral
GAUGAACGCUGGCGGCGUGCCUAAUACAUGCAAGUCGAGCGAACGGACGAGAAGCUUGCUUCUCUGAUGUUAGCGGCGGACGGGUGAGUAACACGUGGAUAACCUACCUAUAAGACUGGGAUAACUUCGGGAAGCCGGAGCUAAUACCGGAUAAUAUUUUGAACCGCAUGGUUCAAAAGUGAAAGACGGUCUUGCUGUCACUUAUAGAUGGAUCCGCGCUGCAUUAGCUAGUUGGUAGGGUAACGGCUUACCAAGGCAACGAUGCAUAGCCGACCUGAGAGGGUGAUCGGCCACACUGGAACUGAGACACGGUCCAGACUCCUACGGGAGGCAGCAGUAGGGAAUCUUCCGCAAUGGGCGAAAGCCUGACGGAGCAACGCCGCGUGAGUGAUGAAGGUCUUCGGAUCGUAAAACUCUGUUAUUAGGGAAGAACAUAUGUGUAAGUAACUGUGCACAUCUUGACGGUACCUAAUCAGAAAGCCACGGCUAACUACGUG